Molecule: ribosomal RNA, 447 nt
Filed under: uncultured Lactobacillus sp.
Lineage: Bacteria; Bacillati; Bacillota; Bacilli; Lactobacillales; Lactobacillaceae
Description: bacterial SSU rRNA
Rfam family: Bacterial small subunit ribosomal RNA
Source: RNAcentral
UAGGGAAUCUUCCACAAUGGACGCAAGUCUGAUGGAGCAACGCCGCGUGAGUGAAGAAGGUUUUCGGAUCGUAAAGCUCUGUUGUUGGUGAAGAAGGAUAGAGGUAGUAACUGGCCUUUAUUUGACGGUAAUCAACCAGAAAGUCACGGCUAACUACGUGCCAGCAGCCGCGGUAAUACGUAGGUGGCAAGCGUUGUCCGGAUUUAUUGGGCGUAAAGCGAGCGCAGGCGGUUUGAUAAGUCUGAUGUGAAAGCCUUUGGCUUAACCAAAGAAGUGCAUCGGAAACUGUCAGACUUGAGUGCAGAAGAGGACAGUGGAACUCCACGUGUAGCGGUGGAAUGCGUAGAUAUAUGGAAGAACACCAGUGGCGAAGGCGGCUGUCUGGUCUGCAACUGACGCUGAGGCUCGAAAGCAUGGGUAGCGAACAGGAUUAGAUACCCUGGUAGU